GGGGAUGUAGCUCAGAUGGUAGAGCGCUUGCUUAGCAUGUGAGAGGUACAGGAUCUAUACCUACAUCUCCA
Molecule: transfer RNA, 71 nt
Filed under: Zingiber officinale
Lineage: Eukaryota; Viridiplantae; Streptophyta; Magnoliopsida; Zingiberales; Zingiberaceae
Rfam family: tRNA
About the family: Transfer RNA (tRNA) molecules are approximately 80 nucleotides in length. Their secondary structure includes four short double-helical elements and three loops (D, anti-codon, and T loops). Further hydrogen bonds mediate the characteristic L-shaped molecular structure. tRNAs have two regions of fundamental functional importance: the anti-codon, which is responsible for specific mRNA codon recognition, and the 3' end, to which the tRNAs corresponding amino acid is attached (by aminoacyl-tRNA synthetases). tRNAs cope with the degeneracy of the genetic code in two manners: having more than one tRNA (with a specific anti-codon) for a particular amino acid; and 'wobble' base-pairing, i.e. permitting non-standard base-pairing at the 3rd anti-codon position.
Source: Rfam by way of RNAcentral